GACGAACGCUGGCGGCGUGCUUAACACAUGCAAGUCGAACGGAAAGGCCCUGCUUUUGUGGGGUGCUCGAGUGGCGAACGGGUGAGUAACACGUGGGUAACCUGCCCUUGACUUUGGGAUAACUUCAGGAAACUGGGGCUAAUACCGGAUAGGAGCUCCUGCUGCAUGGUGGGGGUUGGAAAGUUUCGGCGGUUGGGGAUGGACUCGCGGCUUAUCAGCUUGUUGGUGGGGUAGUGGCUUACCAAGGCUUUGACGGAUAGCCGGCCUGAGAGGGUGACCGGCCACAUUGGGACUGAGAUACGGCCCAGACUCCUACGGGAGGCAGCAGUGGGGAAUAUUGCACAAUGGGCGGAAGCCUGAUGCAGCAGCGCCGCGUGCGGGAUGACGGCCUUCGGGUUGUAAACCGCUUUCGCCUGUGACGAAGCGUGAGUGACGGUAAUGGGUAAAGAAGCACCGGCUAACUACGUG
RNAcentral lists this ribosomal RNA (468 nucleotides) under uncultured bacterium. RNAcentral describes it as "partial 16S ribosomal RNA". It matches the Rfam family "Bacterial small subunit ribosomal RNA", at positions 28 to 507 of the family's 1533-position model. The record is from RNAcentral.